GGGCCUGUAGCUCAGUCGGUUAGAGCACUCCUCUGAUAAGGGAGUGGUCAGUGGUUCGAGUCCACUCAGGCCCACCA
RNAcentral lists this transfer RNA (77 nucleotides) under Pseudomonadota bacterium. Its description in RNAcentral is "tRNA-Ile". It matches the Rfam family "tRNA". Rfam says of the family: Transfer RNA (tRNA) molecules are approximately 80 nucleotides in length. Their secondary structure includes four short double-helical elements and three loops (D, anti-codon, and T loops). RNAcentral also lists the same sequence under 4 other names. The record is from RNAcentral. Lineage: Bacteria; Pseudomonadati; Pseudomonadota.